ACUCAAAGGAAUUGACGGGGGCCCGCACAAGCAGCGGAGCGUGUGGUUUAAUUCGACGCAACGCGAAGAACCUUACCAAGGCUUGACAUCCCUCGCUAUUCAUGGAAACAUGGAGUUCCCUUCGGGGACGAGGAGACAGGUGGUGCACGGUUGUCGUCAGCUCGUGUCGUGAGAUGUUGGGUUAAGUCCCGCAACGAGCGCAACCCCUGUGCUUAGUUGCCAUCACUUCGGGUGGGCACUCUAAGCAGACUGCCGGUGACAAACCGGAGGAAGGUGGGGAUGACGUCAAAUCAUCAUGCCCCUUAUGCCUUGGGCUACACACGCGCUACAAUGGUCUGUACAAAGGGCAGCAACACCGCGAGGUGGAGCGAAUCCCAUAAAGCAGAUCUCAGUUCGGAUUGCAGGCUGCAACUCGCCUGCAUGAAGUCGGAGUUGCUAGUAAUCGUGGAUCAGAACGCCACGGUGAAUGCGUUCCCGGGCCUUGUACACACCGCCCGU
Molecule: ribosomal RNA, 498 nt
Filed under: uncultured bacterium
Lineage: Bacteria
Description: bacterial SSU rRNA
Rfam family: Bacterial small subunit ribosomal RNA
Source: RNAcentral